CCCUUAGAUGUUCUGGGCCGCACGCGCGCUACACUGAUACAUGCAACGAGUUUAUAACCUUGAUCUGACGGUCUGGGUAAUCUUCAAACUGUAUCGUGUUAGGGAUCGAUUCUUGCAAUUUUUAAUCGUAAACGAGGAAUUCCUAGUAAACGCAAGUCAUCAGCUUGCAUUGAUUACGUCCCUGCCCUUUGUACACACCGCCCGUCGACUCUACCGAUUGAAUGGUUCGGUGAAAACUUUGGACUGUGGCAUUGUCCUUCAUUGGACUUCACCGUAGGAAAUUGUUUAAACCUCAUCAUUUAGAGGAAGAAUAAGUCGUAACA
This 323-nucleotide ribosomal RNA is filed under the name uncultured eukaryote. Its description in RNAcentral is "partial 18S ribosomal RNA". It matches the Rfam family "Eukaryotic small subunit ribosomal RNA", at positions 1470 to 1796 of the family's 1831-position model. The record is from RNAcentral.